UAAGAGAUGGAUUAAGGGCCGCAU
This 24-nucleotide non-coding RNA is filed under the name Rattus norvegicus (Norway rat). The record is from RNAcentral. Lineage: Eukaryota; Metazoa; Chordata; Mammalia; Rodentia; Muridae.